AUUGGAGUCUGCAACCCGACUCCAUGAAGCUGGAUUCGCUAGUAAUCGCGCAUCAGCCACGGCGCGGUGAAUACGUUCCCGGGCCUUGUACACACCGCCCGUCAAGCCAUGGAAGCCGGGGGUGCCUGAAGUGCGCUGCCGCAAGGAGCGCCCUAGGGUAAAACCGGUGACUGGGGUGAAGUCGUAACAAGGUAUC
RNAcentral lists this ribosomal RNA (196 nucleotides) under uncultured bacterium. RNAcentral's name for it is "partial 16S ribosomal RNA". It matches the Rfam family "Bacterial small subunit ribosomal RNA", at positions 1297 to 1500 of the family's 1533-position model. The record is from RNAcentral.